Carya illinoinensis is the source of this 1260-nucleotide long non-coding RNA. RefSeq lists it as uncharacterized. Lineage: Eukaryota; Viridiplantae; Streptophyta; Magnoliopsida; Fagales; Juglandaceae. The transcript has 2 exons. The record is from RefSeq and is a predicted model, not a curated record.
GAUGAUAAAAAGAAUUUUCUUAAUAAAUAAUAUGACUAAAAAAUGAGUCUGCCUCGAGAUUCUUUCGCCAUCAAGGACUAUUAUAGUCGGUCGAUAAAAAACUGGUAAUAUUCCUUUGCCCAAAAGAAAAAGAAGAAAAAAAAAAACAAUCAAGCAUCUAUAUAUAAACAAUCCCUUUUGUUUAAUAUUACUUUACAAAAAGGGAAGCGUGCAUGGUUUGGCCUUAUCCGCGUGUCCAAUGAUUCCCAGGGUCCAGAGUACUGUUCUCGGGGCCUGUACAGUUGCACGUACGAUUUUGGGAAGUGACCAGAUUCAAUGAACCUCAAAUGCAAUCUUCUCGAAUCUCUCCGACCCCAUUUCUCUAUUAAUAUAUGGUUCUUCAUGGGACAGAGAAAGAUCAAAGUGAGACGGAGGGAGAGAGACAACUCGUUUAUGUCUUUGGUCGCCGCUAGCUCCUCUUCCUUUCGGACUUGUUCAGCUUCAACUCCAAUCUUUGAGUUAAAUGUUGGUUGGGAACUCAACACAAACUCUUCAUACGUUUCACUCUGAUCAAUUGGGAAUGAACCAUGUCACAGACCAGUACUGCCAUGGAAGGGUGAGAAAGUUAGGAUGUGAUGGCGCGCGCCGGCAAGAGGACAUGUGCCAUGCAUGGUGGCUGAGGAACAUAUGGCCGGCCUUUAACAAGGCUGUGGGAAAGAUCAUUCGAUGGCUUUAGCAAAUGUCCUCCAAUAUUGGCAAUAAUCAUGAACGUAUUAUAAUACGCGGUAUCUUCUGGUACAUUACUAGGAUCAAUAAACUGCACCGGUGAUGUUCUUGUUGAAGAUCCCGAUCGAGAUCUCGUACUUAAUUACAUUCGGAAGAGUUCCCCUUUACAACUUCAAGUUGGUGAAGCUUUUGUGAUCAUGUAUUGCAGACUGUAGACAUGGUCCAAGGCCGGUCAAUCUGUCCCUUUGUUCUACUCUCCUGCCUCGAAUAAAUCUUAGUGGAAGGAAAACAAAGGGAGCAAUAUGGCGUGGUACUGAUGUGUUCAUCGAUCCGUCCUAUCAUUUCUAGCACAAGAAUCUGCAGCUUGUUAAUUACAGAAGUAGUACUAAUUUGUGAGUGUGUUUUCCUUUCCUUUCAAGGUACGUUGAGAUCACAGACUUCCGGUUGAAACUUGAUGUAUGUCGUAUUGAGAAGUACAGUACUAGAGCUGGAGAUUCUAACAAAUACAAACAAAUUAUAAACAUUACGGUGAAUGAAAUUUCUAAUAUUCCCAUA